GACGAACGCUGGCGGCGUGCUUAACACAUGCAAGUCGAGCGGAAAGGCCCUUCUGGGUACUCGAGCGGCGAACGGGUGAGUAACACGUGAGUAACCUGCCCCAGACUUUGGGAUAACUCACGGAAACGGGGGCUAAUACCGGAUACGACACAGGUUCACAUGGGGUCGGUGUGGAAAGUUAGUCGGGUUGGGAUGGGAUGGGGGCGUAUCAGCUUGUUGUUGGGGUGGUGGCAUACCAAGGCGACGACGGGCAGCCGGCCUGGGAGGGCGACCGGCCAAGCUGGGACUGAGAUACGGCACAGACUCCUCCGGGAGGCAGCAGUGGGGAAUAUUGCACAAUGGGCGGAAGCCUGAUGCAGCGACGCCGCGUGGGGGAUGACGGCCUUCGGGUUGUAAACCUCUUUCAGCAGGGACGAAGCGUAAGUGACGGUACCUGGAGAAGAAGCGCCGGCCAACUACGUG
This 462-nucleotide ribosomal RNA is filed under the name uncultured bacterium. Its description in RNAcentral is "partial 16S ribosomal RNA". It matches the Rfam family "Bacterial small subunit ribosomal RNA", at positions 28 to 507 of the family's 1533-position model. The record is from RNAcentral.